This is a long non-coding RNA of Myiozetetes cayanensis, 579 nucleotides long. RefSeq lists it as uncharacterized. The record is from RefSeq and is a predicted model, not a curated record. Lineage: Eukaryota; Metazoa; Chordata; Aves; Passeriformes; Tyrannidae. The transcript has 3 exons.
AGGAAGAAAUCCUGGAGAUGUCAUUGCCUCCUUUCAAGAUGUUGAGAUUCCAUGAGCUACACUUUGGUCCUAUCAAGACAGGCAGGCAGCUGCAUGAGAGGUGGAAAGAGAGAAAAUGAUUAAGACAAAAUCACCACCAACAGCUACCACGGGCAGGGAAGGCAGCGUUGGAUCCCAGCCACAAUACUUUUGCAGCCUGGCUUGAAUGGGCCUGAUGGGAUGCCGUAAUGUAACCUACACUGAGCAAGGGUGGAUCACAGUUGUAUAAAACUGCAACGCUGCCAAAAAUGGGAAACCUCAUGUCAGUUCCGAAAAACUUGCAUGGCUGCUACACAGACGUCUCAGCUACCUCCCAGAUAAAAAUCUCACUGAACUUCAGACAGAACUCGAAGUAACAUUGACACUUACGCUUGGAAAUAAGAGGGUGGCACAGACAGCAGGGAAGAGACAAGUGCUCGUGAAAGACUUCAAAAUGGAGGUAAUUCACUCUUGCUGACGGGAAGGCCUUGAGGAACUCAAACUAAAAAUUAUUGCACUGUUGCAAGAAUGAGAGAAAAAUCACUUAUUAUUACGAAAACA